RNAcentral lists this unclassified non-coding RNA (344 nucleotides) under soil metagenome. Its description in RNAcentral is "partial contains 5.8S ribosomal RNA, internal transcribed spacer 2, and large subunit ribosomal RNA". The stretch from base 1 to 120 matches the Rfam family "5.8S ribosomal RNA", at positions 35 to 154 of the family's 154-position model. The record is from RNAcentral.
GAUGAUGAACGUAGCGAAAUGCGAUAAGUAAUGUGAAUUGCAGAAUUCAGUGAAUCAUCGAAUCUUUGAACGCACAUUGCGCCCGCCAGUAUUCUGGCGGGCAUGCCUGUUCGAGCGUCAUUUCAACCCUCAAGCCCCCGGGCUUGGUGUUGGGGAUCGGCGUGCCCUCGCGGCGCGCCGUCCCCUAAAUCUAGUGGCGGUCUCGCUGUAGCUUCCUCUGCGUAGUAGCAACACUCGCACUGGAUCGCAGCGCGGCCACGCCGUUAAACCCCCCACUUCUGAAAGUUUGACCUCGGAUCAGGUAGGAAUACCCGCUGAACUUAAGCAUAUCAAUAAGCGGAGGA